CAGCAGGCCCCUUUCCAUGGGGGGGCUGGGGUCAGCACAGACAUUGACGCCCCCACGUCUCCCCCAGGUUGGAGUCGAGCACCUACGUCAGCGUCUCGUCGGAGAUGCCGGAGCGCCGCGCCAUUGCCCACCGCUACCAGGUGCAGAAUUUGGGGCCCCCUACUGUGCCCGUCGCUGUGACCUUUGAACUCCCCAUCCGGGCCGAACUUGGCUUCAUCUGGGACGUAUCCGUGAACCUCAGCAGUGGGGAACAGGAGUUCACAUGCACCCCACCCCUGACGCUCCGAAUGGGGACUGCAACCCAGAUCCCAAAGGAACCAGUGACAGUAAGAUCAGAGCUGAGAUGCAGCCACUUCUGGGGCUGGGCACGUGGGGACCCCUCACCUGGUGCUGGG
Long non-coding RNA from Chrysemys picta bellii (western painted turtle), 395 nucleotides. The record is from Ensembl. NCBI's taxonomy places the organism in Eukaryota, Metazoa, Chordata, Testudines, Emydidae.